GACGAACGCUGGCGGCGUGCCUAAUACAUGCAAGUAGAACGCUGAAGGAGGAGCUUGCUUCUCUGGAUGAGUUGCGAACGGGUGAGUAACGCGUAGGUAACCUGCCUGGUAGCGGGGGAUAACUAUUGGAAACGAUAGCUAAUACCGCAUAAGAGUAGAUGUCGCAUGACAUUUGCUUAAAAGGUGCGAUUGCAUCACUACCAGAUGGACCUGCGUUGUAUUAGCUAGUUGGUGAGGUAACGGCUCACCAAGGCAACGAUACAUAGCCGACCUGAGAGGGGGAUCGGCCACACUGGGACUGGGACACGGCCCAGACUCCUACGGGAGGCAGCAGUAGGGAAUCUUCGGCAAUGGACGGAAGUCUGACCGAGCAACGCCGCGUGAGUGAAGAAGGUUUUCGGAUCGUAAAGCUCUGUUGUAAGAGAAGAACGAGUGUGAGAGUGGAAAGUUCACACUGUGACGGUAUCUUACCAGAAAGGGACGGCUAACUACGUG
Molecule: ribosomal RNA, 495 nt
Filed under: uncultured bacterium
Lineage: Bacteria
Description: partial 16S ribosomal RNA
Rfam family: Bacterial small subunit ribosomal RNA
Source: RNAcentral